Molecule: ribosomal RNA, 484 nt
Filed under: uncultured bacterium
Lineage: Bacteria
Description: partial 16S ribosomal RNA
Rfam family: Bacterial small subunit ribosomal RNA
Source: RNAcentral
AUUGAACGCUGGCGGCAGGCCUAACACAUGCAAGUCGAGCGGAUGAAGGGAGCUUGCUCCUGGAUUCAGCGGCGGACGGGUGAGUAAUGCCUAGGAAUCUGCCUGGUAGUGGGGGAUAACGUCCGGAAACGGGCGCUAAUACCGCAUACGUCCUGAGGGAGAAGGUGGGGGAUCUUCGGACCUCACGCUAUCAGAUGAGCCUAGGUCGGAUUAGCUAGUUGGUGGGGUAAAGGCCUACCAAGGCGACGAUCCGUAACUGGUCUGAGGGGAUGAUCAGUCACACUGGAACUGAGACACGGUCCAGACUCCUACGGGAGGCAGCAGUGGGGAAUAUUGGACAAUGGGCGAAAGCCUGAUCCAGCCAUGCCGCGUGUGUGAAGAAGGUCUUCGGAUUGUAAAGCACUUUAAGUUGGGAGGAAGGGCAGUAAGUUAAUACCUUGCUGUUUUGACGUUACCAACAGAAUAAGCACCGGCUAACUUCGUG